AUGUUUAUGGGCCUUUAUAAUAAAAAUGUGUCAUAUUCUUUCCAGUUUUUUUUUUUUUUGAUACUGGGAAUGGAACUCAGGACCUUGCACUUGCCAGGCAGAAGCUGUGCCACUGAGCUAUAUCCCCAGCAUGUCAUAUUCUUAAAUAUUUUAUAUGCAUUAUUUUACUUCUUCAGACUUCUCAUAUGCUCUAGAUUCUCAGGAGGUCAAAGUUUUUCCAGUACUGGACCAUUGAGAAGGACUGAUCAGAGCUUACAUUUCUAAAACUAUGAUCUGUGUAAGUUGAUUACUUUUUCUGUUUCCUUGCAAUAUUAAGGUUUUAGGUAAAGGUAGUUUUUUUAUUUUUUAUUUUUGUCUUUUUUUGAGAUAGGGUCUCACUAUGCAGUUCAGGCUGGCUUUGAGCUCACUUUGUAGCUCAGGCUGAUCUCGAACUUGCAACGAUCCUCCUGCCUCAGC
This 456-nucleotide long non-coding RNA is filed under the name Chinchilla lanigera (long-tailed chinchilla). RNAcentral's name for it is "lncRNA (ENSCLAG00000027776.1)". Lineage: Eukaryota; Metazoa; Chordata; Mammalia; Rodentia; Chinchillidae. The record is from RNAcentral.